Molecule: ribosomal RNA, 76 nt
Filed under: Brochothrix thermosphacta
Lineage: Bacteria; Bacillati; Bacillota; Bacilli; Caryophanales; Listeriaceae
Source: RNAcentral
UUUGGUGACGAUAGCAAAGAGGAUACACCUGUUCCCAUCCCGAACACAGUAGUUAAGCUCUUUAGCGCCGAUGGAC